Molecule: ribosomal RNA, 356 nt
Filed under: uncultured bacterium
Lineage: Bacteria
Description: bacterial SSU rRNA
Rfam family: Bacterial small subunit ribosomal RNA
Source: RNAcentral
GAAAUUUGGCCUAAUGCCCCGUAGUCCGCGUGGCGGCAUCGCCAUGCGGGAAAGACGAGUCGGUAGGGGAUGGGCAUGCGGCGCAUUAGCUGGUUGGCGGGGCAACGGCCCACCAAGGCUACGAUGCGUAGGGGUUCUGAGAGGAAGGUCCCCACACUGGUACUGAGACACGGACCAGACUCCUACGGGAGGCAGCAGUGAGGAAUAUUGGUCAAUGGGCGGGAGCCUGAACCAGCCAAGUCGCGUGCGGGAAGACGGCCCUACGGGUUGUAAACCGUCUUUAGCCGGGGAGUAACGUGCGGCACGUGUGCCGCAGUGAGAGUACCCGGAGAAUAAGCAUCGGCUAACUCCGUGCC